This 764-nucleotide ribosomal RNA is filed under the name uncultured bacterium. RNAcentral describes it as "bacterial SSU rRNA". It matches the Rfam family "Bacterial small subunit ribosomal RNA", at positions 62 to 802 of the family's 1533-position model. The record is from RNAcentral.
UCGUUGAUGAUCGGUGCUUGCACCGAGAUUCAACAUGGAACGAGUGGCGGACGGGUGAGUAACACGUGGGUAACCUGCCCUUAAGUGGGGGAUAACAUUUGGAAACAGAUGCUAAUACCGCAUAGAUCCAAGAACCGCAUGGUUCUUGGCUGAAAGAUGGCGUAAGCUAUCGCUUUUGGAUGGACCCGCGGCGUAUUAGCUAGUUGGUGAGGUAAUGGCUCACCAAGGCGAUGAUACGUAGCCGAACUGAGAGGUUGAUCGGCCACAUUGGGACUGAGACACGGCCCAAACUCCUACGGGAGGCAGCAGUAGGGAAUCUUCCACAAUGGACGCAAGUCUGAUGGAGCAACGCCGCGUGAGUGAAGAAGGCUUUCGGGUCGUAAAACUCUGUUGUUGGAGAAGAAUGGUCGGCAGAGUAACUGUUGUCGGCGUGACGGUAUCCAACCAGAAAGCCACGGCUAACUACGUGCCAGCAGCCGCGGUAAUACGUAGGUGGCAAGCGUUAUCCGGAUUUAUUGGGCGUAAAGCGAGCGCAGGCGGUUUUUUAAGUCUGAUGUGAAAGCCCUCGGCUUAACCGAGGAAGCGCAUCGGAAACUGGGAAACUUGAGUGCAGAAGAGGACAGUGGAACUCCAUGUGUAGCGGUGAAAUGCGUAGAUAUAUGGAAGAACACCAGUGGCGAAGGCGGCUGUCUGGUCUGUAACUGACGCUGAGGCUCGAAAGCAUGGGUAGCGAACAGGAUUAGAUACCCUGGUAGUCCAUGCCG